This 508-nucleotide ribosomal RNA is filed under the name Bacillus sp. PSu4_27. Its description in RNAcentral is "bacterial SSU rRNA". It matches the Rfam family "Bacterial small subunit ribosomal RNA", at positions 57 to 548 of the family's 1533-position model. Lineage: Bacteria; Bacillati; Bacillota; Bacilli; Caryophanales; Bacillaceae. The record is from RNAcentral.
GCAGUCGAGCGGACCGACGGGAGCUUGCUCCCUUAGGUCAGCGGCGGACGGGUGAGUAACACGUGGGUAACCUGCCUGUAAGACUGGGAUAACUCCGGGAAACCGGGGCUAAUACCGGAUGCUUGAUUGAACCGCAUGGUUCAAUCAUAAAAGGCGGCUUCGGCUGCCGUUUACAGAUGGACCCGCGGCGCAUUAGCUAGUUGGUGAGGUAACGGCUCACCAAGGCGACGAUGCGUAGCCGACCUGAGAGGGUGAUCGGCCACACUGGGACUGAGACACGGCCCAGACUCCUACGGGAGGCAGCAGUAGGGAAUCUUCCGCAAUGGACGAAAGUCUGACGGAGCAACGCCGCGUGAGUGAUGAAGGUUUUCGGAUCGUAAAGCUCUGUUGUUAGGGAAGAACAAGUACCGUUCGAAUAGGGCGGUACCUUGACGGUACCUAACCAGAAAGCCACGGCUAACUACGUGCCAGCAGCCGCGGUAAUACGUAUGUGGCAAGCGUUGUCCGG